This 598-nucleotide ribosomal RNA is filed under the name [Candida] sp. Its description in RNAcentral is "eukaryotic LSU rRNA". The stretch from base 210 to 363 matches the Rfam family "5.8S ribosomal RNA". The record is from RNAcentral. Lineage: Eukaryota; Fungi; Ascomycota; Saccharomycetes; Saccharomycetales.
UGCGGAAGGAUCAUUACAGUAUUCUUUUGCCAGCGCUUAAUUGCGCGGCGAAAAACCUUACACACUAUGUUUUUUUAAUUUGAAACUAUUGCUUUGGUCUGGCUUAGAAAUAGGUUGGGCCAAAGGUUUUAUCAAAACUUCAAUAUUUAUUAUUGAAUUGUUAUUUUUAAUUUUAUGUCAAUUUGUUGAUUAAUAUCAAAAAUCUUCAAAACUUUCAACAACGGAUCUCUUGGUUCUCGCAUCGAUGAAGAACGCAGCGAAAUGCGAUAAGUAAUAUGAAUUGCAGAUUUUCGUGAAUCAUCGAAUCUUUGAACGCACAUUGCGCCCUUUGGUAUUCCAAAGGGCAUGCCUGUUUGAGCGUCAUUUCUCUCUCAAAUCUUCGGAUUUGGUUUUGAGUGAUACUCUUAGUCAGACUAAGCGUUUGCUUGAAAUGUAUUGGCAUGAGUGGUACUAGAUAGUGCUGAACUGUUUUCAAUGUAUUAGGUUUAUCCAACUCAUUGACCAGUAAAGUAUUUGUUUAUUACACAGGCUCGGCCUUACAACAACAAACAAAGUUUGACCUCAAAUCAGGUAGGACUACCCGCUGAACUUAAGCAUA